AAAGCUUUAAGUUAAAAAAACUAAUAACCUUCAAAGUUAUUAAUACAAGAUAUUUGUAAGCUUUA
Molecule: transfer RNA, 65 nt
Filed under: Apolygus lucorum
Lineage: Eukaryota; Metazoa; Arthropoda; Insecta; Hemiptera; Miridae
Description: tRNA-Trp
Source: RNAcentral